GAUGGUGAGACUGCUGAAGUGUACUUGACUGAUGUCAAGAGCGAAGGUAGAUUCAACGAGGCGAUGCGCAAUUUCCCUGGACCACUUUGCAGGGGCAAAACCCAUAAACGGGAUGUUGUAAAGUAUGCCAAAGAGAUGGCCAUGAUGGCUUUCAACAACCAAAGCGAUUCUUUUGAAAAACGCGAGGCUGUCUACAUUCUUUGGCAAGUGUUGGCUGUUAUGG
Long non-coding RNA from Dendronephthya gigantea, 223 nucleotides. RefSeq lists it as uncharacterized. The record is from RefSeq and is a predicted model, not a curated record. The transcript has 3 exons. NCBI's taxonomy places the organism in Eukaryota, Metazoa, Cnidaria, Anthozoa, Malacalcyonacea, Nephtheidae.